GGAAAUGUGCCCGAAAGAUAGGGACCCCCUUGAUAGGGGGGAUCAUAGGGGUUCAAACCCCCUCAUUUCC
RNAcentral lists this transfer RNA (70 nucleotides) under Scinax caissara. RNAcentral describes it as "partial tRNA-Ile". It matches the Rfam family "tRNA". From Rfam's summary of the family: Transfer RNA (tRNA) molecules are approximately 80 nucleotides in length. Their secondary structure includes four short double-helical elements and three loops (D, anti-codon, and T loops). Lineage: Eukaryota; Metazoa; Chordata; Amphibia; Anura; Hylidae. The record is from RNAcentral.